UUUUUUUUUUUUUUUAGAUUAAAAAAAGGUUAUAUGAAAACAAAACAGAUACCAACACAAUAAAACACAUCUGGAGGCCACUUGGUGACAUUCGGGCUUCUUUUUCAACUAUUAGCUUUCAUGGAAAGCUCUUACAGUACUAAAGCAAAUGUCAUAAAAGUAUAACAUUCAUUACAUAAUGUUGUCUAAACACUUGAGGCUGAAAUUCAAACCUGGCAGUGAAACUAAAGAGUAAAUAAGUACAGAUUGUAACAACAUAACGAUGAAAAGACACAAGUAUAAACAGCUGGUAGGCUGGCCAGGUAAAUGCCAUAUUUAAGAAGGAACACAGGGAGUUGUUACUUAGAACCUUAAGGCCAGCCACAGAAAAGACAGGAUUACAAUAAAAGUUGUCAAAAUUCAUAUCUUAUUUCUGAGUUAAACUGAUUUACAAAGGUGGCAAUCAGUCCCUAACAGUACAGUUCAUCUUACAGCCAAAUAGAAAAACUUGCAAUUUGGGCCGGGUGUGGUGGCUCACGCCUGUAAUCCCAGCACUUUGGGAGGCCGAGGUGGGCAGAUCACCUGAGGACCAGCCUAACUAAUGUGGUAAAACCCCGUAUCUACUAAAAUUACAAAAAUUAGCUGGACAUGGUGGCGGGCACCUGUAAUCCCAGCUACUCAGGAGGCUGAGGCAGGAGAAUAGCUUAAACCUGGGGGACAGAGGUUGCAGUGAACCGAGACUGUGCCACUGUACUCCAGCGUGGGUGACAGAGCGAGACUCUGUCUCAAAAAAACAAAAACAAAAACAAGAAAAACCUUAAAAUUCACAAAGCAUCAUGCUUGUCUAAUGUUUCCUGCCUUUGUAUAUACUUUUCCUUCUGCCUAAACUGGCCCAUUCUGCUAUUCUGAUACUGGCUUGGCCAAACUCCUAUUUAGUCAUUAAGACCUAACUCAAUCAUCUCUUCCUCUUUGAAGCCUCCUUUAAUAGUCCACACAGAAAAAAUAACUUCAGGCUUUGCCUCUGUGCUACUGCUAUAUCCAGUACAUUUCUCUAUUCCUGCCUUUACAACAAUGUAUUGCCAGUAAGUGCUUACAUGCCUUCCUCCCUUACAAAACACUGCGCUCUUGAAAAACUGAACCACUCCUAUGUAAUGUUUGUAUUCCCAGAACCUACCAUAAUGCCUGGCAAACCACAGGCACUCAAUAAAGGUGUGUUGAAAGGAAAACCAUGCCACCAAAUUGAAAUAAAAAUGGGAAAGCUUAACAUUAAAUGGUUAAC
Molecule: long non-coding RNA, 1258 nt
Filed under: Macaca fascicularis (crab-eating macaque)
Lineage: Eukaryota; Metazoa; Chordata; Mammalia; Primates; Cercopithecidae
Description: lncRNA (ENSMFAG00000048771.1)
Source: RNAcentral